Long non-coding RNA from Tigriopus californicus, 228 nucleotides. RefSeq lists it as uncharacterized. The transcript is spliced from 3 exons. NCBI's taxonomy places the organism in Eukaryota, Metazoa, Arthropoda, Copepoda, Harpacticoida, Harpacticidae. The record is from RefSeq and is a predicted model, not a curated record.
GAACCGACAAUACCAUUGCCAUAUCUAAAGUUUGAAGAAAUGAAAAAUUUCCUCGAAUUCCGUCAAAUACUUCCACUUCUUAUCCGCAGAAACAACUCUUCAACCCGACCAAAUCAUCAGUUCUCUGAGGAUCCAAAUUAACUUUGGAACAAGCUUUAUAACGUGGCAUGCCGUAAACCUUGGCAGUCGAAUUAGAAGAACAUCGCUGAAAUCAACACCUACGUAGAC